This 321-nucleotide ribosomal RNA is filed under the name uncultured bacterium. RNAcentral's name for it is "bacterial SSU rRNA". It matches the Rfam family "Bacterial small subunit ribosomal RNA", at positions 86 to 422 of the family's 1533-position model. The record is from RNAcentral.
ACUCUGUCAGUGGCGGACGGGUGAGUAACGCGUAGGUAUCUAUCCUUGGGUGGGGGACAACCACGGGAAACUGUGGCUAAUACCGCAUGACGACUGAGGUCCAAAGGCGCAAGUCGCCUGGGGAGGAGCCUGCGUCCGAUUAGCUUGUUGGUGGGGUAAAGGCCUACCAAGGCUCCGAUCGGUAGCUGGUCUGAGAGGAUGAUCAGCCACACUGGGACUGAGACACGGCCCAGACUCCUACGGGAGGCAGCAGUGGGGAAUAUUGGACAAUGGGCGAAAGCCUGAUCCAGCAAUGCCGCGUGGGUGAAGAAGGUCUUCGGA